Molecule: non-coding RNA, 193 nt
Organism: Chlamydomonas reinhardtii
Lineage: Eukaryota; Viridiplantae; Chlorophyta; Chlorophyceae; Chlamydomonadales; Chlamydomonadaceae
Source: Rfam
AUACCUUUCUCGGCCUUUUGGCUCAGAUCAUGUGUAGUAUCUGUUCUUAUAAGCUUAAUCGCUUAUAUGGUUCUCAUUGAGAACCUGCGAUUAACUUUAAUAUUUUAGGGGGUCAAGGCAAUGGGGGCGCUUGCGCUCCCGCCGCGACAGCUUGGCAGGAGGCUUACACUACCUCUCUUGCCGAGCACCCCAG